GUCCUGUUAGCUCAGUCGGUAGAGCACUUGACUUUUAAUCAAGGGGUCACGCGUUCAAAUCGCGUACAGGAUA
Molecule: transfer RNA, 73 nt
Filed under: Firmicutes bacterium CAG:631
Lineage: Bacteria; Bacillati; Bacillota
Rfam family: tRNA
About the family: Transfer RNA (tRNA) molecules are approximately 80 nucleotides in length.
Source: Rfam by way of RNAcentral